This is a long non-coding RNA of Canis lupus familiaris (dog), 572 nucleotides long. RefSeq lists it as uncharacterized. The record is from RefSeq and is a predicted model, not a curated record. Lineage: Eukaryota; Metazoa; Chordata; Mammalia; Carnivora; Canidae. The transcript has 3 exons.
CAGAUAAUUUAAUAUGGAUCUCAACACUCAAAAUAUCAUGCUCAGCAAAUCCUCCUAUUUCCUAUGAAGUUUCCACCUAAUCCAUGAAUGGUCUUUGGACUAUUUUCCUACUAUCAACAUAAGUAAUACUUAAAGUUUGAGAGAAAUGUGAGACAACUUCUUUUGUUUCAUCUUGUCUUGGGACUUUUUACUGGAGGGCUCUAUUAUAUUUGGAUUCGAAUUCACUGCGAACGUAUACCAGAUCCUGGUGAACUUCCAGGAAGUUUAAUACUCUCUGGUGACUGUUGAAAACUAAAAAAAAGUCGUCUGGUGAGAUAUAUUUGAUAUAUUUGAUAUUUGAUACUUAGUCUCAAAUAUCUGUUCAGCUGGGUAUUGGGGGUAUGUUUAAUCCAUCCAUGUUCACGCAGCAAGAGCUUUAUCCUUUAAUCAAGGAUAGAAAUUUUACAUGCUGUAGCUAAGUUGCUAUGUAGAUUCGUGUGCAAACUGUUAGGCUUAUAAAGUUUAUGGUAAAUAUGGCCUCUUUUGUGUGUUUCCACAUACAAAAACACUAGUGUAUGGGUUAAUACUUGUAC